This 480-nucleotide long non-coding RNA is filed under the name Ananas comosus (pineapple). RNAcentral's name for it is "long non-coding RNA (ACOM_LNC004213)". Lineage: Eukaryota; Viridiplantae; Streptophyta; Magnoliopsida; Poales; Bromeliaceae. The record is from RNAcentral.
AUUUUUUUUAAUAAAUAAGUCGAAUACGAGUCGAGAAAUUUAGCUUGUCUAAUAAAUAAAUCAAAUAUGAGUUAAAAUUAGCUCGUUUGUGUUCAGUUAAAUAACAAAUCGAAUAUAUAUAUUUUAUAUUUAACUAGUUGAGUGUUCAUGUUCACACUCCCUAACACGGCUAUACAUCUCUGACAAUCUCGUUCAAAAACCACUGCACCGUCAUAAUUAAUUUUGGAUAUACCGAUUGUUUCUAAAGCAAGUGGCAAAGGGAUAAUUGGUUGGUACCCGGGAUCACAAGUUCAAAUCUUAGUUGAUUCACAUUUCUAGCUAAAUUUAUUUCUAAAUAAAAUAAACAAAACGGAUAGUGUGCUACCUAUAUAAAUGACUAGUUUUUAUAUUUUAUUUAUUGUUUAUUUAAAUAAAAAUUAAAAACAGUUAUAAAAUUUAGAUGUGAAAAUUUAUUGUAUUAUUUUUAUAAUUGCACAAUAA